CGUAGGGUGCGAGCGUUAAUCGGAAUUACUGGGCGUAAAGUGUGCGCAGGUGGCUGAGCAAGUCGAGAGUGAAAUCCCCGGGCUUAACUUGGGAAUUGCGCUCGAAACUACUUGGCUCGAGUGUGGCAGAGGAAGGUGGAAUUCCAGGUGUAGCGGUGAAAUGCGUAGAGAUCUGGAGGAACACCGAUGGCGAAGGCAGCCUUCUGGGCCAACACUGACGCUCAUGCACGAAAGCGUGGGGAGCAAACAGGAUUAGAUACCCUGGUAGUCCACGCCCUAAACGAUGAUGACUAGUUGUUGGGGGAGUUAAAUCCCUUAGUAACGCAGCUAACGCGUGAAGUCAUCCGCCUGGGGAGUACGGUCGCAAGAUUA
This 372-nucleotide ribosomal RNA is filed under the name uncultured organism. RNAcentral describes it as "bacterial SSU rRNA". It matches the Rfam family "Bacterial small subunit ribosomal RNA", at positions 526 to 896 of the family's 1533-position model. The record is from RNAcentral.